ACGCCGCGUGAGUGAUGAAGGUUUUCGGAUCGUAAAGCUCUGUUGUUAGGGAAGAACAAGUGCGAGAGUAACUGCUCGCACCUUGACGGUACCUAACCAGAAAGCCACGGCUAACUACGUGCCAGCAGCCGCGGUAAUACGUAGGUGGCAAGCGUUGUCCG
RNAcentral lists this ribosomal RNA (161 nucleotides) under uncultured Bacillus sp. RNAcentral's name for it is "partial 16S ribosomal RNA". It matches the Rfam family "Bacterial small subunit ribosomal RNA", at positions 394 to 547 of the family's 1533-position model. The record is from RNAcentral. Lineage: Bacteria; Bacillati; Bacillota; Bacilli; Caryophanales; Bacillaceae.